CCUACGGGGGGCAGCAGUGAGGAAUAUUGGUCAAUGGGCGAGAGCCUGAACCAGCCAAGUCGCGUGAAGGAUGAAGGAUCUAUGGGUUGUAAACUUCUUUUAUAAAGGAAUAAAGCGAGGAACGUGUGCCUUGUUGUAUGUACCAUAUGAAUAAGGAUCGGCUAACUCCGUGCCAGCAGCCGCGGUAAGACGGAGGAUGCGAGCGUUAUCCGGAUUUAUUGGGUUUACAGGGUGCGUAGGUGGGUACUUAAGUCAGCGGUGAAAGUUUGUGGCUCAACCCUAAAAUUGCAGUUGAAACGGGUUGUCUUGAGUACAUUUGAGGUCGGCGGACUUCGUGGUGUAGCGG
RNAcentral lists this ribosomal RNA (346 nucleotides) under uncultured bacterium. RNAcentral describes it as "partial 16S ribosomal RNA". It matches the Rfam family "Bacterial small subunit ribosomal RNA", at positions 338 to 681 of the family's 1533-position model. The record is from RNAcentral.